CAGCUCACCGGAUAAGACAGCUGGAUGAUAGCCGGGCUGAAGACUCUGCUUGACUAGCUGAGAGGAGGUGCAUGGCCGUCGUCAGUUCGUACUGUGAAGCAUCCUGUUAAGUCAGGCAACGAGCGAGACCCACGCCAACAGUUGCCAGCAUGUCCUCCGGGAUGAUGGGGACACUGUUGGGACCGCCUCUGCUAAAGAGGAGGAAGGAAUGGGCAACGGUAGGUCAGCAUGCCCCGAAUUAUCCGGGCUACACGCGGGCUACAAUGGUCAGGACAAUGGGUAUCGACACCGAGAGGUGGAGGCAAUCUCCUAAACCUGUCCUUAGUUCGGAUUGUGGGCUGCAACUCGCCCACAUGAAGCUGGAAUCCGUAGUAAUCGCGUUUCAAAAUAGCGCGGUGAUAUCGUCCUGCUCCUU
Molecule: ribosomal RNA, 415 nt
Filed under: uncultured Methanolinea sp.
Lineage: Archaea; Methanobacteriati; Methanobacteriota; Methanomicrobia; Methanomicrobiales; Methanoregulaceae
Description: bacterial SSU rRNA
Rfam family: Archaeal small subunit ribosomal RNA
Source: RNAcentral